RNAcentral lists this ribosomal RNA (804 nucleotides) under uncultured bacterium. RNAcentral describes it as "bacterial SSU rRNA". It matches the Rfam family "Bacterial small subunit ribosomal RNA", at positions 8 to 796 of the family's 1533-position model. The record is from RNAcentral.
AGAGUUUGAUCAUGGCUCAGGACGAACGCUGGCGGCGUGCCUAAUACAUGCAAGUCGAGCGGACGGAGAGAGGCUUGCCUCUCAAAGUCAGCGGCGGACGGGUGAGUAACACGUGGGUAACCUGCCCGACAGACUGGGAUAACGCUUGGAAACGAGUGCUAAUACCAGAUAGUCUUUUUGAUCGCAUGAUCGAAAAGGGAAAGAAGCUAUCGCUUCACUGUCGGAUGGACCCGCGGCGCAUUAGCUAGUUGGUGAGGUAACGGCUCACCAAGGCGACGAUGCGUAGCCGACCUGAGAGGGUGAACGGCCACACUGGGACUGAGACACGGCCCAGACUCCUACGGGAGGCAGCAGUAGGGAAUCUUCCGCAAUGGGCGCAAGCCUGACGGAGCAACGCCGCGUGAAUGACGAAGGCCUUCGGGUUGUAAAAUUCUGUCUUCUGUGAAGAACGUGUGUGAGAGUGGAAAGCUCACGCUUUGACGGUAACAGAGGAGGAAGCCCCGGCUAACUACGUGCCAGCAGCCGCGGUAAUACGUAGGGGGCAAGCGUUGUCCGGAAUCACUGGGCGUAAAGCGCGCGCAGGCGGCCAUUUGCGUCUGGGGUGAAAGCCCGGAGCUCAACUCCGGGAUUGCCUUGGAUACGGGAUGGCUUGAGGAUCGGAGAGGCAAGGGGAAUUCCUCGUGUAGCGGUGGAAUGCGUAGAUAUGAGGAGGAACACCUGUGGCGAAGGCGCCUUGCUGGCCGAUUUCUGACGCUGAGGCGCGAAAGCGUGGGGAGCAAACAGGAUUAGAUACCCUAGUAGUCC